UACGUAGGGUGCAAGCGUUGUCCGGAAUUAUUGGGCGUAAAGCGUCCGCAGGUGGCUAUUCAAGUCUGCGGUCAAAGACUGGGGCUUAACCCUGGAAAGGCCGUGGAAACUGAAGAGCUAGAGUGCAGUAGGGGUAGAGGGAAUUCCCGGUGUAGCGGUGAAAUGCGUAGAGCUCGGGAAGAACAUCGGUGGCGAAAGCGCUCUGCUGGACUGCAACUGACACUCAGGGACGAAAGCUAGGGGAGCGAAUGGG
RNAcentral lists this ribosomal RNA (253 nucleotides) under uncultured bacterium. RNAcentral describes it as "partial 16S ribosomal RNA". It matches the Rfam family "Bacterial small subunit ribosomal RNA", at positions 524 to 776 of the family's 1533-position model. The record is from RNAcentral.